This 24-nucleotide transfer RNA is filed under the name Nasitrema delphini. Its description in RNAcentral is "partial tRNA-Lys". Lineage: Eukaryota; Metazoa; Platyhelminthes; Trematoda; Plagiorchiida; Brachycladiidae. The record is from RNAcentral.
GGAUGGGUUUGACCUCUCUCGGAG